CUACGGGGCGCACCAGUGGGGAAUCUUGGACAAUGGGCGCAAGCCUGAUCCAGCCAUGCCGCGUGAGUGAAGAAGGCCUUAGGGUCGUAAAGCUCUUUCGCCAGAGAUGAUAAUGACAGUAUCUGGUAAAGAAACCCCGGCUAACUCCGUGCCAGCAGCCGCGGUAAUACGGAGGGGGUUAGCGUUGUUCGGAAUUACUGGCGUAAAGCGCGCGUAGGCGGAUUAGUCAGUCAGAGGUGAAAUCCCAGGGCUCAACCCUGGAACUGCCUUUGAUACUGCUAGUCUUGAGUUCGAGAGAGGUGAGUGGAAUUCCGAGUGUAGAGGUGAAAUUCGUAGAUAUUCGGAGGAACACCAGUGGCGAAGGCGGCUCACUGGCUCGAUACUGACGCUGAGGUGCGAAAGUGUGGGGAGCAAACAGGAUUAGAUACCCCAGUAGUC
This 438-nucleotide ribosomal RNA is filed under the name uncultured bacterium. Its description in RNAcentral is "partial 16S ribosomal RNA". It matches the Rfam family "Bacterial small subunit ribosomal RNA", at positions 339 to 795 of the family's 1533-position model. The record is from RNAcentral.